Molecule: ribosomal RNA, 343 nt
Filed under: uncultured bacterium
Lineage: Bacteria
Description: bacterial SSU rRNA
Rfam family: Bacterial small subunit ribosomal RNA
Source: RNAcentral
AUUGAACGCUGGCGGCAUGCUUUACACAUGCAAGUCGAACGGCAGCACGGGGGCAACCCUGGUGGCGAGUGGCGAACGGGUGAGUAACACAUCGGAACGUGCCCAGUUGUGGGGAUAACCUAUCGAAAGGUAGGCUAAUACCGCAUGAGCUCGGCAAGAGGAAAGCGGGGGACUCAGCGAUGGGCCUCGCGCGACUGGGAGCGGCCGAUGUCCGAUUAGCAGUUGGUGGGGUAAAGGCUUACCAAGGCGACGAUCGGUAGCUGGUCUGAGAGGAUGAUCAGCCACACUGGGACUGAGACACGGCCCAGACUCCUACGGGAGGCAGCAGUGGGGAAUUUUGGAC